This 566-nucleotide ribosomal RNA is filed under the name uncultured Glomeromycotina. Its description in RNAcentral is "SSU rRNA". It matches the Rfam family "Eukaryotic small subunit ribosomal RNA", at positions 548 to 1114 of the family's 1831-position model. The record is from RNAcentral. Lineage: Eukaryota; Fungi; Glomeromycota.
UUGGAGGGCAAGUCUGGUGCCAGCAGCCGCGGUAAUUCCAGCUCCAAUAGCGUAUAUUAAAGUUGUUGCAGUUAAAAAGCUCGUAGUUGAAUUUCGGGAUCAAUAUUUCGGUCAUGCCGUUGGUAUGCACUGUUAUCAUUGAUUUCUCACCUUCUAAAGAACCGUAAUGCCAUUAAUUUGGUGUUACGGGGAAUUAGGACUGUUACCUUGAAAAAAUUAGAGUGUUUAAAGCAGGCUCACGCUUGAAUACAUUAGCAUGGAAUAAUGAAAUAGGACAUCCGAUUCUAUUUUGUUGGUUUCUAGGAUCGAUGUAAUGAUUAAUAGGGAUAGUUGGGGGCAUUAGUAUUCAAUUGUCAGAGGUGAAAUUCUUGGAUUUAUUGAAGACUAACUACUGCGAAAGCAUUUGCCAAGGAUGUUUUCAUUAAUCAAGAACGAAAGUUAGGGGAUCGAAGACGAUCAGAUACCGUCGUAGUCUUAACCAUGAACUAUGCCGACUAGGGAUCGGAUGAUGUUAAUUUUUUAAUGACUCAUUCGGCGCCUUACGGGAAACCAAAGUGUUUGGGUUC